This 906-nucleotide ribosomal RNA is filed under the name uncultured bacterium. RNAcentral describes it as "bacterial SSU rRNA". It matches the Rfam family "Bacterial small subunit ribosomal RNA", at positions 8 to 914 of the family's 1533-position model. The record is from RNAcentral.
AGAGUUUGAUCCUGGCUCAGGAUGAACGCUGGCGGCGUGCUUAACACAUGCAAGUCGAACGAAGCACUUGAAACAGAUUCUUCGGAUGAAGUUUCCUGUGACUGAGUGGCGGACGGGUGAGUAACGCGUGGGUAACCUGCCUCAUACAGGGGGAUAACAGUUAGAAAUGGCUGCUAAUACCGCAUAAGCGCACGGUACUGCAUGGUACAGUGUGAAAAACUCCGGUGGUAUGAGAUGGACCCGCGUUGGAUUAGCUAGUUGGCAGGGUAACGGCCUACCAAGGCGACGAUCCAUAGCCGGCCUGAGAGGGUGGACGGCCACAUUGGGACUGAGACACGGCCCAGACUCCUACGGGAGGCAGCAGUGGGGAAUAUUGCACAAUGGGGGAAACCCUGAUGCAGCGACGCCGCGUGAGCGAAGAAGUAUUUCGGUAUGUAAAGCUCUAUCAGCAGGGAAGAAAAUGACGGUACCUGACUAAGAAGCCCCGGCUAACUACGUGCCAGCAGCCGCGGUAAUACGUAGGGGGCAAGCGUUAUCCGGAUUUACUGGGUGUAAAGGGAGCGUAGACGGAAUGGCAAGUCUGAUGUGAAAGGCCGGGGCUCAACCCCGGGACUGCAUUGGAAACUGUCAAUCUAGAGUACCGGAGGGGUAAGUGGAAUUCCUAGUGUAGCGGUGAAAUGCGUAGAUAUUAGGAGGAACACCAGUGGCGAAGGCGGCUUACUGGACGGUAACUGACGUUGAGGCUCGAAAGCGUGGGGAGCAAACAGGAUUAGGUACCCUGGUAGUCCACGCCGUAAACGAUGACUGCUAGGUGUCGGGUGGCAAAGCCAUUCGGUGCCGCAGCUAACGCAAUAAGCAGUCCACCUGGGGAGUACGUUCGCAAGAAUGAAACUCAAAGGAAUUGAC